This 67-nucleotide transfer RNA is filed under the name Halapricum desulfuricans. RNAcentral describes it as "tRNA-Ala". It matches the Rfam family "tRNA". Rfam says of the family: Transfer RNA (tRNA) molecules are approximately 80 nucleotides in length. Their secondary structure includes four short double-helical elements and three loops (D, anti-codon, and T loops). Further hydrogen bonds mediate the characteristic L-shaped molecular structure. tRNAs have two regions of fundamental functional importance: the anti-codon, which is responsible for specific mRNA codon recognition, and the 3' end, to which the tRNAs corresponding amino acid is attached (by aminoacyl-tRNA synthetases). tRNAs cope with the degeneracy of the genetic code in two manners: having more than one tRNA (with a specific anti-codon) for a particular amino acid; and 'wobble' base-pairing, i.e. permitting non-standard base-pairing at the 3rd anti-codon position. The record is from RNAcentral. Lineage: Archaea; Methanobacteriati; Methanobacteriota; Halobacteria; Halobacteriales; Haloarculaceae.
AGACCGAUAGCUCAGUGGCAGAGCACCACCUCGUGUGGUUGCCCCGGUUCGAUUCCGGGUCGGUCAC